AUGCAGGCUAUCACCCGGAUCGGUUCCGACCAUGUCCCUGUCCUCCUCUCCUCUACUGAUGAACGCCCCCUCAUCCCUCCUCGGUUCUGGUUUGAGCUCUUCUGGCUCAACCAGGCCGGAUUCCGCGAGGCCGUAUCGGCUAAGUGGACCACCGCGCGUGAAUCUUCUCACCGCGCCAUGUCCGUGGUUGACUCCUGGCAGUUUUGCGCCAAGCUAGCCCGCCAAAUUAUGAAGGGAUGGGGCACGAACCUCGGCCGUGAUCUCCGUGACCGCAAGAAGGCCCUCCUGAGCGCCAUCCAAGUCCUGGACGCCCAUGCUGACUCGUCCGGGAUCUCUCCGGACGAGUGGAUGCUGAGAUAUGAUCUCGAGGACCAGCUCUCGGUCAUCUACGAUGACGAGGAGGCCUACUGGCGGCUGCGCGGCACCCAACAGUGGGCGCUCCAGGGUGACGCUAACACGACCUACUUCCAGGUGAUUUCCCACGGCCGACGUCAUCGCAACUCCAUCCACUCCUUGUGGGAAGGCGAUACUCAGCUUGUUCGCCCCUCAGACAUCCGAGCCCACGUAGAUCGCUUCAAUAAAGCCCUUUUCACCACCCCUCGGGGUGGGGCUGCGCUGGCCCCCGAUACCUCGUCGGGUGCCCAGCUUGUCUCCGCCGAGGCCAACGCCGCCUUGUUGGUGCCCUUCUCGGAGGAGGAAGUACUUGCGGCAAUCAAAGGAAUGAACCCCUCCUCGGCUCUGGCCCCGGAUGGAUUGCCAGUCUCGUUUUUCAAAAUGUUCUGGCAAACCAUCAAACCGGAAGUCAUGGCCCUCUUCGACGAGUUCUUCUCUGGGACCAUGGACCUUGGGCGCCUGAACUAUGGGAUUAUUACCCUCAUCCCCAAGGUUCCGGGGGCCUCGGACAUUUGCCAGUUCCGCCCGAUCACGGUGAUUAAUGUGAUAUUCAGGAUCCUGGCUACAGGGUACGCCAAUAGGGUGACCCUUCUAGCGGACUCUAUCGCCCACCCCAACCAAUCCGCCUUCAUCCAAGGCCGGUUUAUUUUGGAUGGGGUCUUGGUCUUUCAUGAAGUCCUCCAUGAAGUCUGA
This 1086-nucleotide ribosomal RNA is filed under the name Triticum aestivum (bread wheat). RNAcentral describes it as "partial small subunit ribosomal RNA". The record is from RNAcentral. Lineage: Eukaryota; Viridiplantae; Streptophyta; Magnoliopsida; Poales; Poaceae.